UUCUUGUAACCCUAUAAGAAGUAAUUUCCUGCCCGGUGACACUCGUUCAACGGCCGCGGUAUCCUAACCGUGCAAAGGUAGCAUAAUAAUUUGCCCAUUAAUUGUGGGCUAGAAUGAACGGACCAACGAAAUAAAGACUGUCUCUAUAAGUUACAUAAAAAUUAAUCUCUAACUGAAGACUGUUAGAUACCAUCGAAGGACAAGAAGACCCUAUAGAGCUUUAUCCUAGUAAAAGUUAAUUUUCUUUUUGCGGGAUUCGGUUGGGGCGACCGGGGAAAUUAACAAUCAUCCCUCCUAAUAAGAUAAAUAAAUCAUAGUCCUGACCCUUAAUAAAGAUCACAAGAUCAAGCUACCUUAGGGAUAACAGGCUAAUUCUACUAAAGAGUCCUUAUUAAUAGUAGAGUUUGGCACCUCGAUGUUGGCUUAGGGAAUCUAUGUGGCGCAAAAGUCGCAUAAAGAUGGUUUGUUCAACCAAUAACACCCUACAUGAGCUGAGUUCAGACCGGCGUAAGCCAGGUUAGUUUCUAUCCUCGACAAUAUAACCUAUUUAUAGUACGAAAGGACCUAAAUAAGGAUAAUAAUUAUAGUUAAAGAAUAAAUAUAAAAAAAAAUAAACUGCUCAAUACAUAAACUAUG
This 636-nucleotide ribosomal RNA is filed under the name Scherotheca savignyi. RNAcentral's name for it is "partial 16S ribosomal RNA". It matches the Rfam family "Bacterial large subunit ribosomal RNA", at positions 1820 to 2827 of the family's 2925-position model. The record is from RNAcentral. Lineage: Eukaryota; Metazoa; Annelida; Clitellata; Crassiclitellata; Lumbricidae.